GUGGAUGUAGCUCAGUUGGUUAGAGUACUGGAUUGUGAUUCCAGUGGUCGGGGGUUCGAAUCCCCUCAUCCACCCCA
This 77-nucleotide transfer RNA is filed under the name Lysobacter defluvii IMMIB APB-9 = DSM 18482. Its description in RNAcentral is "tRNA-His". It matches the Rfam family "tRNA". From Rfam's summary of the family: Transfer RNA (tRNA) molecules are approximately 80 nucleotides in length. Their secondary structure includes four short double-helical elements and three loops (D, anti-codon, and T loops). Lineage: Bacteria; Pseudomonadati; Pseudomonadota; Gammaproteobacteria; Lysobacterales; Lysobacteraceae. The record is from RNAcentral. RNAcentral also lists the same sequence under 2 other names.